RNAcentral lists this ribosomal RNA (506 nucleotides) under uncultured bacterium. RNAcentral's name for it is "partial 16S ribosomal RNA". It matches the Rfam family "Bacterial small subunit ribosomal RNA", at positions 29 to 523 of the family's 1533-position model. The record is from RNAcentral.
AGUGAACGCUGGCGGUAGGCCUAACACAUGCAAGUCGAACGGCAGCACAGGAGAGCUUGCUCUCUGGGUGGCGAGUGGCGGACGGGUGAGGAAUACAUCGGAAUCUACUUUUUCGUGGGGGAUAACGUAGGGAAACUUACGCUAAUACCGCAUACGACCUACGGGUGAAAGCAGGGGAUCUUCGGACCUUGCGCGAUUGAAUGAGCCGAUGUCGGAUUAGCUAGUUGGCGGGGUAAAGGCCCACCAAGGCGACGAUCCGUAGCUGGUCUGAGAGGAUGAUCAGCCACACUGGAACUGAGACACGGUCCAGACUCAUACGGGAGGCAGCAGUGGGGAAUAUUGGACAAUGGGCGCAAGCCUGAUCCAGCCAUACCGCGUGGGUGAAGAAGGCCUUCGGGUUGUAAAGCCCUUUUGUUGGGAAAGAAAUCCAGCUGGUUAAUACCCGGUUGGGAUGACGGUACCCAAAGAAUAAGCACCAGCUAACUUCGUGCCAGCCGCCGCAGUAA